GGGCUCGCUUCACUAGCACAUAUACUAAAAUUGUAAUGAUACAGAAAAAAUUUGUAUGGCCCCUGCACAAGGAUGACACUCAAAUUCAUGAAGCAUUUCAUAUUUUU
Molecule: small nuclear RNA, 107 nt
Organism: Bison bison bison
Lineage: Eukaryota; Metazoa; Chordata; Mammalia; Artiodactyla; Bovidae
Source: Ensembl